RNAcentral lists this ribosomal RNA (2342 nucleotides) under Klebsiella pneumoniae. RNAcentral's name for it is "bacterial LSU rRNA". It matches the Rfam family "Bacterial large subunit ribosomal RNA", at positions 1 to 2368 of the family's 2925-position model. The record is from RNAcentral. Lineage: Bacteria; Pseudomonadati; Pseudomonadota; Gammaproteobacteria; Enterobacterales; Enterobacteriaceae.
GGGUUGUGAGGUUAAGCGACUAAGCGUACACGGUGGAUGCCCUGGCAGUCAGAGGCGAUGAAGGACGUGCUAAUCUGCGAAAGCGUCGGUAAGGUGAUAUGAACCGUUAUAACCGGCGAUGUCCGAAUGGGGAAACCCAGUGCAAUUCGUUGCACUAUCGUUAACUGAAUACAUAGGUUAACGAGGCGAACCGGGGGAACUGAAACAUCUAAGUACCCCGAGGAAAAGAAAUCAACCGAGAUUCCCCCAGUAGCGGCGAGCGAACGGGGAGCAGCCCAGAGUCUGAAUCAGCUUGUGUUAGUGGAACGGUCUGGAAAGUCCGACGGUACAGGGUGAUAGUCCCGUACACCAAAAUGCACAGGCUGUGAACUCGAAGAGUAGGGCGGGACACGUGGUAUCCUGUCUGAAUAUGGGGGGACCAUCCUCCAAGGCUAAAUACUCCUGACUGACCGAUAGUGAACCAGUACCGUGAGGGAAAGGCGAAAAGAACCCCGGCGAGGGGAGUGAAAAAGAACCUGAAACCGUGUACGUACAAGCAGUGGGAGCACCUUCGGGUGUGACUGCGUACCUUUUGUAUAAUGGGUCAGCGACUUAUAUUCUGUAGCAAGGUUAACCGUAUAGGGGAGCCGCAGGGAAACCGAGUCUUAACUGGGCGUUAAGUUGCAGGGUAUAGACCCGAAACCCGGUGAUCUAGCCAUGGGCAGGUUGAAGGUUGGGUAACACUAACUGGAGGACCGAACCGACUAAUGUUGAAAAAUUAGCGGAUGACUUGUGGCUGGGGGUGAAAGGCCAAUCAAACCGGGAGAUAGCUGGUUCUCCCCGAAAGCUAUUUAGGUAGCGCCUCGUGAAUUCAUCUUCGGGGGUAGAGCACUGUUUCGGCUAGGGGGUCAUCCCGACUUACCAACCCGAUGCAAACUACGAAUACCGAAGAAUGUUAUCACGGGAGACACACGGCGGGUGCUAACGUCCGUCGUGAAGAGGGAAACAACCCAGACCGCCAGCUAAGGUCCCAAAGUCAUGGUUAAGUGGGAAACGAUGUGGGAAGGCACAGACAGCCAGGAUGUUGGCUUAGAAGCAGCCAUCAUUUAAAGAAAGCGUAAUAGCUCACUGGUCGAGUCGGCCUGCGCGGAAGAUGUAACGGGGCUAAACCAUGCACCGAAGCUGCGGCAGCGACACUAUGUGUUGUUGGGUAGGGGAGCGUUCUGUAAGCCUGCGAAGGUGACCUGUGAGGGUUGCUGGAGGUAUCAGAAGUGCGAAUGCUGACAUAAGUAACGAUAAAGCGGGUGAAAAGCCCGCUCGCCGGAAGACCAAGGGUUCCUGUCCAACGUUAAUCGGGGCAGGGUGAGUCGACCCCUAAGGCGAGGCCGAAAGGCGUAGUCGAUGGGAAACAGGUUAAUAUUCCUGUACUUGGUGUUACUGCGAAGGGGGGACGGAGAAGGCUAUGUUAGCCGGGCGACGGUUGUCCCGGUUUAAGCAUGUAGGCUGGUUAUCCAGGCAAAUCCGGAUAAUCAAGGCUGAGGUGUGAUGACGAGGCACUACGGUGCUGAAGUAACAAAUGCCCUGCUUCCAGGAAAAGCCUCUAAGCAUCAGGUAACAUCAAAUCGUACCCCAAACCGACACAGGUGGUCAGGUAGAGAAUACCAAGGCGCUUGAGAGAACUCGGGUGAAGGAACUAGGCAAAAUGGUGCCGUAACUUCGGGAGAAGGCACGCUGGUGUGUAGGUGAAGUCCCUGCGGAUGGAGCUGAGACCAGUCGAAGAUACCAGCUGGCUGCAACUGUUUAUUAAAAACACAGCACUGUGCAAACACGAAAGUGGACGUAUACGGUGUGACGCCUGCCCGGUGCCGGAAGGUUAAUUGAUGGGGUUAUCCGUAAGGAGAAGCUCUUGAUCGAAGCCCCGGUAAACGGCGGCCGUAACUAUAACGGUCCUAAGGUAGCGAAAUUCCUUGUCGGGUAAGUUCCGACCUGCACGAAUGGCGUAAUGAUGGCCAGGCUGUCUCCACCCGAGACUCAGUGAAAUUGAACUCGCUGUGAAGAUGCAGUGUACCCGCGGCAAGACGGAAAGACCCCGUGAACCUUUACUAUAGCUUGACACUGAACAUUGAGCCUUGAUGUGUAGGAUAGGUGGGAGGCUUUGAAGCGUGGACGCCAGUCUGCGUGGAGCCAACCUUGAAAUACCACCCUUUAAUGUUUGAUGUUCUAACGUUGGCCCCUUACCGGGGUUGCGGACAGUGUCUGGUGGGUAGUUUGACUGGGGCGGUCUCCUCCCAAAAACGGAGGAGCACGAAGGUUAGCUAAUCCUGGUCGGACAUCAGGAGGUUAGUGCAAUGGCAUAAGCUAGC